This 51-nucleotide small RNA is filed under the name Phormidium tenue NIES-30. RNAcentral describes it as "Nitrogen stress-induced RNA 1". It matches the Rfam family "Nitrogen stress-induced RNA 1". Lineage: Bacteria; Bacillati; Cyanobacteriota; Cyanophyceae; Oscillatoriales; Oscillatoriaceae. The record is from Rfam by way of RNAcentral.
AGGUAGAUGCACCCUGAUAAUUCCCUGGCCCUUGGGUCGGGGAAUUUUUUU